Molecule: transfer RNA, 76 nt
Filed under: Myotis lucifugus (little brown bat)
Lineage: Eukaryota; Metazoa; Chordata; Mammalia; Chiroptera; Vespertilionidae
Rfam family: tRNA
About the family: Transfer RNA (tRNA) molecules are approximately 80 nucleotides in length. Their secondary structure includes four short double-helical elements and three loops (D, anti-codon, and T loops).
Source: Rfam by way of RNAcentral
GCCCGUGUGGCUCAGUGGAUAGAGCGUCAUUGGCCUGCGGACUGAAGGGUCCUGGGUUCGAGUCCAGUCAAGGGCA